Long non-coding RNA from Malurus melanocephalus (red-backed fairy wren), 2744 nucleotides. RefSeq lists it as uncharacterized. NCBI's taxonomy places the organism in Eukaryota, Metazoa, Chordata, Aves, Passeriformes, Maluridae. The transcript is spliced from 3 exons. The record is from RefSeq and is a predicted model, not a curated record.
AAGUGGGCAGCAGCCCUGGAGUGUGACCUGUGGCAUUACAGAGGUGCCUCAUGUCCCCUCCCUUCUCGGCCACCAGGAUGAAGGCACAAGGUCUGUCUGCCUUAACUGAAACAAGCGCGUUCUGUUCAUCUGCCCGGAAUACACAAGCAAGUGUAAUGGUUGUGUAAGUUGCUGGUAAUACCCAAAGCAUAAACAAACGUGCACAGGAGAGGUGAGUUUCUGGCRAGUUUUCAGGGGAGUUCCCUCGGUCCAGGUGUUCCUCUUUAAGGAAAAGACAAAGAUAUUUAUGCAAGAAAGAAACAGAGAAUGUGCAGAAGGGCAGGGUACAAAUUGAGGUGUUGUCUGAUGGUGAUGAUGCUUUUAACACUGACCUGUGGCUCCAGAUUUAUUUCUUCAUGUUUGGCACAUCAGAAAACACCUCUGCUUUCAAAUCAUGCCAGGAUGAGUGACGAGUAUGCAGCACCUCGUGGAAUCAGAUCUUACAUGAAGUGAGUUAUUCCUUUAUCUGUGAGUCAGUAUUGCCAGGGUACAUUCUGUUUUAAGGUUCAAUUAAUGGUGUAUUCUAUGAAAUAAUUAGAKGAUGAGAAGUUUUCUUUACASUGAAGGUGGUGAAGUGCUGGAMCAGGCUGCCCAGAGAGGUGGCYGAUGCCUCAUCCCUGGAAACAUUCAGGGUCAGGUUGGAUGGAGCUCUGAGCAAUCUGAUYRAGUKGGAGAUGACAUUGCAGGGUGGGUGGAUUAGAUGGCUCAUAAAGGUCCCAUCCAACCCAAAUUAUUCUUCRGUUCUGUGAUCAAACUCCACCUAGYCAGUCAGUUGUUUCUUUUCUUGCAGUGAAGUGCUCCACAAAGGACACGUGUUUGGCUGGACUGUGAAGAGCUGUGAAGAUUGUACAAAGAAAGGACAAGACAGAGGAGGARAGAGACAGAAGAGAUGUUACAAAUYACUCUGCUGAAAGGCACCGGGAUAGUACCGUGAUAAAUCCAGGUCCACAGAAGGAACAAGUUAUUCAGUACCUGCUCUGAAAAACUUGCCUGGAAGGACGGCCGAAUGGAAAUGUGGAAGUCAGUGCCUUGCCUUCUCGGCAGGUGAACUCUGUGACUGCGGCGGCGUUUCCUCCCUCCCUCCCUCCCUUCCUCCCUGCCUGUGCGUUGGGAAGUUCCAGUGAAAUGUAGCUGCUGUGGAAAGUCCUGUUCACAGCGAGGAGACGUGACCUCUCAGCGAGUCAGAUGCAAUUUUACAGGCGGCUCUGAGUCAGGGUGGAGCCGGCGCCCUGAACUUUGUAUUGAAGAAGGAAGUGAUGUUGGUGGCAGCCCGUGUUGCUAAGCAGAGGAGUUGCCGUAUUUUGAUGUCAGCUGAUACUUUCGGCGGGGGUGUGACUUCAUUCUUAGAUAUGAUGYCUUCCAUUUAUUAAGGACAAAGGUCAGAAAUCGCCAGCGCUGCGAGAGCUCUGUCUCUCCAUAUAUGAAGAGGCACGUUCUGCUGAGCCGUCAAAGAUGGAAAUGGGAGUCCUUAAUGCUGCUCCUGCACGGUGAAAACAAAACCGACCGUGAAGCUGUCACUUCAUGUCACGGUCCAAGAGCAAACGUCCUCACAAUUAGGGAUGAUGUGGAGUAGGUCAGUUCUGCGGCRUUGCUCCAUUUUUAUAAGAACUCACUACUGUUCCUGAUUAUAGAGGUGGCCUGGUCUUGUCUCCAGUAGUAGUGGGAACCGGGGGCCUGAGGGGAGCAGUUGGACACUGACCUGUUAAAUCAGAAUUUAGAUGGAAAGCCAAGUGAUCCUGUCUCAUACCCAGCAAACUGAGUGGUGAGUCUGUCUGGGAGGGACAGCGAGCUGUUUGUCACCUCUGUGCCGCGGGCACCUGGGUGGGUGCUGCCUUCCAGCUGUCCAGAUUGUCACAGGGAAGUGGAGACAGAGAGGGACAGUGCAGGCAGGCUGGGAUCAGCUGCCCACAGCUGUGUGUGCACCCACCCCACCCACAGUGACGAGUCACAGGAGGCUGUUCCACACGGCAUUUUCACCUUUUCCCCCUAAAAGUCUGUGGUUACAUCCUUAAGUUAGCCUUGAGAGAGCUAUGAUGAUUGCCAUGUCAGAACACUUACACAUAAAAUAAUGAGUUUGGGGAGCAGUAUUUUGUUCUUGUUGGAUCCCCGAGGAUGAGGCACUGGGGAACGCUGCUGUCCCUCAGAGCUUUGUCCCUGUGAGGCCUGGCAGGUGAGUGGCAUGYAGACAAGAGCUGCUGGAGCUCGCUGCCCCUCUGCUUUUCUGGUUCAGUUCCUCAGUUAAGGAGUUCCCGGCCACAGAAGUGGCUGUUUGGGCCAGUUCCAGCUUUUGUCACUCUGGCUGACUUGAGUUUAAAAAAAAAAACCCAGCCAACCCACACAAGUGUGUACCCUGGCUUGCCCUCUGUUCCCUUAGCCUGCUGGUGCCACAGGGUGGCUCCUUGUAGCACUUAUAUUUCCAGCACUUUUAGCUCUUCAGCUGAAGUCAUUAAAGUUGUUCUUUCUGAUACGAGUCUGCUGCUUCCUGGUACUUACUAAAAUCCACGUGCUCUUGGUAUUUCAGCAUGCUGUGGGUUGMUGAAUGAUUUCUUCUGAAAAAAGAAUAUUGUUUUCCUUCAGCUUGUUAGCAUCUGUAUUGAAUAUUGUUAUCAUCUGUACCCUGCUAGCCACUACACACUCUGAGUCUCAUGUGCUUCCAUUGCUGUGUAAAUUUUGAGAAGCUUUGAGUAAAACUUUCACUUGAGAAA